Molecule: transfer RNA, 84 nt
Filed under: Nanobdellati archaeon
Lineage: Archaea; Nanobdellati
Description: tRNA-Leu
Rfam family: tRNA
About the family: Transfer RNA (tRNA) molecules are approximately 80 nucleotides in length.
Source: RNAcentral
GCGGGAGUGGCAGAGCGGUCAAAUGCGAUAGACUCAAGAUCUAUUGACUUAGUGUCUUCGGAGGUUCGAAUCCUCUCUCCCGCA